UACGUAUGGAGCGAGCGUUGUCCGGAAUUAUUGGGCGUAAAGGGUGCGCAGGCGGCUUUACAAGUUGGAUGUGAAAUAUUGUGGCUCAACCACAAACGUGCAUCCAAAACUGCAAAGCUUGAGUUAAGGAGAGGUAAGUGGAUUCCUGGUGUAGCGGUGGAAUGCGUAGAUAUCAGGAGGAUACCGGUGGCGAAGGCGACUUACUGGACUUAAACUGACGCUCAGGCACGAAAGCGUGGGGAGCAAACAGGAUUAGAUAC
Molecule: ribosomal RNA, 260 nt
Filed under: uncultured Clostridiaceae bacterium
Lineage: Bacteria; Bacillati; Bacillota; Clostridia; Eubacteriales; Clostridiaceae
Description: partial 16S ribosomal RNA
Rfam family: Bacterial small subunit ribosomal RNA
Source: RNAcentral